CAAGUCGAGGGGCAUCAGUUUGGUUUGCUUGCAAACCAAAGCUGGCGACCGGCGCACGGGUGAGUAACACGUAUCCAACCUGCCUCAUACUCGGGGAUAGCCUUUCGAAAGAAAGAUUAAUACCGGAUGGUAUAGUUUUCCCGCAUGGGAUGAUUAUUAAAGAAUUUCGGUUGUCGAUGGGGAUGCGUUCCAUUAGGCAGUUGGCGGGGUAACGGCCCACCUAGUCUUCGAUGGAUAGGGGUUCUGAGAGGAAGGUCCCCACAUUGGAACUGAGACACGGUCCAAACUCC
This 290-nucleotide ribosomal RNA is filed under the name uncultured Bacteroides sp. Its description in RNAcentral is "partial 16S ribosomal RNA". It matches the Rfam family "Bacterial small subunit ribosomal RNA", at positions 58 to 339 of the family's 1533-position model. The record is from RNAcentral. Lineage: Bacteria; Pseudomonadati; Bacteroidota; Bacteroidia; Bacteroidales; Bacteroidaceae.